RNAcentral lists this long non-coding RNA (237 nucleotides) under Mustela putorius furo (domestic ferret). RNAcentral's name for it is "lncRNA (ENSMPUG00000028727.1)". Lineage: Eukaryota; Metazoa; Chordata; Mammalia; Carnivora; Mustelidae. The record is from RNAcentral.
CUGGAUGGCAUGCUGGUCAAAGGGACUGAAAGUUUCUCUGUCUGCCCUGUUUCCCACAGUCUCUUCUGGGAUCUCCAUGACAUCAAAUACAGAGUGGUAGAGGAAUCCUCUAGCCAGGAUGCCCAUGCUAGAAGAUGAAACCGUCUCCACCACUAGGAUAAAAGUUCCAUUAUAAAUGUAAGUACUGUAUCUUUGGGGCUUAGCAUAGCAUCUGAUUUUUAGGAGGCACUCAGUCAG